RNAcentral lists this signal recognition particle RNA (265 nucleotides) under Chloroflexota bacterium. Its description in RNAcentral is "Chloroflexi bacterium signal recognition particle sRNA large type". It matches the Rfam family "Bacterial large signal recognition particle RNA". Rfam says of the family: The signal recognition particle (SRP) is a universally conserved ribonucleoprotein involved in the co-translational targeting of proteins to membranes. Lineage: Bacteria; Bacillati; Chloroflexota. The record is from RNAcentral.
CCGUGCUAGGCGGGGAGCUAGCGGUGCCCUGUACCCGCAAUCCGCUCAAGCGGGGCUGAAUUCCCGUCCGAGGGGUUGUCUCUCCGGGGACUGCCUUCGCAAAGCGGCGUUGACGAUCUGGUCCUGCGCGGCGGAGCACUACGAACCUGGUCAGGUCCGGAAGGAAGCAGCCAUAAGUAGAACGCUCCGGGCGCCGCAGACUCACCGGGUCCGAGUUGGCUCGCGCGGUGCAAGCCUGGUAUUCACUCCAAAGACGGGUGCACGG